This 253-nucleotide ribosomal RNA is filed under the name uncultured bacterium. RNAcentral describes it as "partial 16S ribosomal RNA". It matches the Rfam family "Bacterial small subunit ribosomal RNA", at positions 524 to 776 of the family's 1533-position model. The record is from RNAcentral.
GACGGAGGGGGCUAGCGUUGUUCGGAAUUACUGGGCGUAAAGGGCGCGUAGGCGGAUCGGUAAGUUGGAAGUGAAAGCCCGGGGCUUAACCUCGGAACUGCUUUCAAAACUGCCGAUCUUGAGUGAAGUAGGGGGUGACGGAAUUCCUAGUGUAGAGGUGAAAUUCUUAGAUAUUAGGAGGAACACCGGUGGCGAAGGCGGUCACCUGGACUUCAACUGACGCUGAGGCGCGAAAGCGUGGGGAGCAAACAGG